GGAUUAGAUACCCGGGUAGUCCACGCCCUAAACGAUGAUUACUCGACAUACGCGAUACACAGUGUGUGUCUGAGCGAAAGCAUUAAGUAAUCCACCUGGGAAGUACGUCCGCAAGGAUGAAACUCAAAGGAAUUGACGGGGGUCCGCACAAGCGGUGGAGUAUGUGGUUUAAUUCGAUGAUACGCGAGGAACCUUACCUGGGCUAGAAUGCUAUUUGACCGUCAGUGAAAGCUGAUUUUGUAGCAAUACACAGAUAGUAAGGUGCUGCAUGGCUGUCGUCAGCUCGUGCCGUGAGGUGUUGGGUUAAGUCCCGCAACGAGCGCAACCCCCAUCUUCAGUUGCCAGCACGUAAUGGUGGGAACUCUGAAGAAACUGCCGUCGC
Molecule: ribosomal RNA, 382 nt
Filed under: uncultured bacterium
Lineage: Bacteria
Description: bacterial SSU rRNA
Rfam family: Bacterial small subunit ribosomal RNA
Source: RNAcentral